AGGUCCCCUCGGUAGCUGGGAAGGCAUAAGCAUGUGAAAGAGUCGAUGGCAUCCAGGCAGGUGGCUCCAUUCAGACAAGGGCUUGAGUGGCACUCAUCAAUGUCUGCAAGAAACCAAGGGCCACCAUUAGCACUGCAGCCUCUUUCUGCGCAGCCAUCUGGCCGCUCCUGGAGCCCUGGGAAGGUGGCUGGGUUUCCUGAGAGCUGUUGCUGCUGCUGCUGCUGCUGCCACCAGUCUCUUGGAAUGUUGAGCCAAAGGUCCACCAAAGGGCUUUCUUGGAUGUGUAUGGUUCUUGACUGGCGAGCUUGGAGCACGGGAGCCGGGUUUCUCACUGGUCUGUUGUGUGAGUGAGUAUGAACUUCCUUCCAGAUGCCUUUCCUUGAGUAUUUCAAGAAGUUACAGGAUUUGAACUGACCAAACACGGUGGAGAGCAAGAAUGCUGGAAGUCAUGCUCCUCAAGUCUGACUAGGGCAUUUUCUUUUCCUAGUUUUCCCCUGUUGCUAUCAAGCAAGGAGAGAGGGCCAGACUGGGCAUAGCUACAGUCAACAAGCUAAAAGUGGUGUGCAGAGUUUCAGACCAUGACAGAAUGGUAGGCAGUCUCAUGAAACUUAUUUGAUUUCUUGUGGCACAGACACGUUCUCUGUCAUCAAUAAGGUCCCAGAGCAUCUUGCCAAGAUGAAGCCAGCAUCCUUGUCUUGGGGAGGGACAGAAACCCAUGGACUGUCCUUACAGCUAAAGGUCCUAGAUGGUGGAAACCGCCAGUAAGUCACAGUUUCUACAAGAGCUCCAUCCUAGGGUGACCCAUAUCUGAAGCAGGUGAAGUUAAGUGGCUGGUCACCAUACCAAACCCGGGGUGUAGGCAGCUCCCCACCACCUUCUUCCCAGGCAGGAUGCCCUUCCAGUCUCAUCUUCUGGCCCCAUAUGUUCUUUCUGAUCAGACUUACUUGUCUUAUGAAACAGAGACCAGAGCCCCAGGCCAGCGUAUGUGGUACCAGUGAUUCAACCCAGAUCUCACUCAUGCAAGUCUUGUGCUUUCCCGCUAAGCCUCCUCCCCAGCCUGAUCAAACUUCUUGGUGAAACUUGAUUGGUAAGUCGCUGGUCUUUAUUCCAUUUUCAGCCAUCAGCCAAGGUGAGACCUGGUCUUUCCACAUAUUUCUGUACUUUCCACAUCUGUUUGUACCCUACAGGCCGGUGCUGGAUUUUUCUGGGUUAUGUCCUCUGGGAAUGUGACAUAAGGAAUUCUGAAAUUCCUCUUCCCAGGAGAGGCAUGAUUCUGCAAAGAAUGGGUUACGUGGCUUAGGAAGCCUCACCAUGAGAGGUGGUGUUGGGCCUUGGUCAUGUAAUCUUCACAUAACCUUAAAGCUCCCCCCCAAAGCCAAUGGUGGGCUCCAUGUGAGCUGCAUGGACUUCAGUCUUGCUUCUUCUGAACCUUGAAAUCACUCCUCUGAUGAGAAGACAGAGCAUGUUCUCUGGCUGCUUCAUACAGAUGCACAGUAGACGUCUUCUAGUGCAGAUGACCCAGAAUCCGCAGAUGAGGACGCCAGGGCAGCCCUAGACCCUGCAGACCAGCCAGCCUUCACUCCAGGCAUGCUCUGCAGCUGCCCGGGACCCAGAAUGUAUGUUUUGCCGACCCAGACAGGGCUCUCUAAGCCUCCCUCUAAGACAGGCACCUGCCACCCCAGGUCCCGGUCGGGUGUGGGAGGGGGAGGUCUGUGUGCAGAGGAGGCAGUGCUCACCAGAAUGCCUCUUUCUGAGGAGCAGACCGAACCUCUCACAUCCUGACCCCAGGCCUUCUUCUGGGGCAGCCUCUCCCAGGAUGGAGACUGAACUCCACUCUUCAUAAAGGCGCUGCUGGAAGAGUGUGCGCACAGGCCCUGGACUGUAAGAGUCCAGAAAAUCACUGCCCCUCAAUGGUCAGGACAAGACCUUCCUCAGGGGCCUUUAUACAGUUGGGAGGUUCGGCGUUCUCAGUUCACACAUGGCCCUUCCAUGGGCAGAACCCCAACUAGGCAAGGUACACAGCCAGCUUUGCUAUUGCCUGUUUAUAUAUACAAAUAUAUCCACUGUAUAAGGGCCAAGUAUACAGCACAUUUACGUUAUGUGUGUAUAUAAUAUACAGCAAAGUGUUAAUGUGCAUAUAUAUCAAUAUAUAUAAACAUAAAAUCCUUCUUGUGGGAUGCAAAGGCUGUUAGUUAGUCUAGCUGUCUGGCACAAUUCCCCUGGGGGGUAGUAUUUCCUGUGAUUCAUUCAUUGCUCCCUUUCUCCAAGUGUCCCAGGAAUGAAGUUCUUUUGGAAAGGAAUCCAAGCUCCCUGACUCUGCUGACUCCAGACAGAAACAGGGCAGGACAGGGCAGCGGGGAGGCUGACCCUAGAAUGUGAGCUUGGAGCACUACUCAGCUCUUGGCUGUAUCAGACGUGGAGCGAGCCUGUGACCUUUCGCAAAGCAGUCCGGCGCGCUAUGGAUGUCCUGUCUUUCAGACCCAUGACCACUAAUCUUUAUGGGUGAGUAACUCUGCCAAGUGUGAUGUGGAGUGCUUGCUUUCUACGCACCUAUGUCCUGGUUAACCUUCCAUACUACUAGUCUCUGAUGGGACUCAGAGAGAAGAUACUUGCGUGAGGCUGCACAGCUCAUCCGGGGCGGAGCAGGGCUUGGAACCUGGAAUCGACACUGUCUCUGACCGAGUUACAAUCUGAGCCCCCAAACAGAUUUAAAGGAAACAUACAAAACUCCAACAAUACCUGUCAA
Molecule: long non-coding RNA, 2746 nt
Organism: Erinaceus europaeus (western European hedgehog)
Lineage: Eukaryota; Metazoa; Chordata; Mammalia; Eulipotyphla; Erinaceidae
Exons: 3
Source: RefSeq, a predicted model, not a curated record